GAACCAGACUCCUACGGGAGGCAGCAGUGAGGAAUAUUGGUCAAUGGCCGUAAGGCUGAACCAGCCAAGUAGCGUGAGGGAAGACUGCCCUAUGGGUUGUAAACCUCUUUUAUGCGGGGAUAAAGGUGUCCACGUGUGGAUGUUUGCAGGUACCGCAUGAAUAAGGACCGGCUAACUCCGUGCCAGCAGCCGCGGUAAUACGGAGGAUCCGAGUGUUAUCCGGAUUCAUUGGGUUUAAAGGGUGCGUAGGUUGUUUUAUAAGUUAGCGGUGAAAUACCGAUGCUCAACAUCGGGGCUGCCGCUAAUACUGUAGGACUAGAGAUCGGAUGCAGCAGGCGGAAUGUGUAGUGUAGCGGUGAAAUGCAUAGAUAUUACACAGAACACCGAUUGCGAAGGCAGCUUGCUAGGCCGGAUCUGACACUGAUGCACGAAAGCGUGGGGAUCGAACAGGAUUAGAUACCCGAGUA
RNAcentral lists this ribosomal RNA (467 nucleotides) under uncultured bacterium. RNAcentral's name for it is "partial 16S ribosomal RNA". It matches the Rfam family "Bacterial small subunit ribosomal RNA", at positions 328 to 792 of the family's 1533-position model. The record is from RNAcentral.